Molecule: long non-coding RNA, 422 nt
Filed under: Mytilus galloprovincialis (Mediterranean mussel)
Lineage: Eukaryota; Metazoa; Mollusca; Bivalvia; Mytilida; Mytilidae
Source: RNAcentral
GGUAGAUAACUCCUAUAAAAUUUCAUCGAAUCGCUUCGAUCCAAAUUAGCCAAAAAUUCCUGAGGAUUUGACGAACAAUGUGUAAAAAGAAUUUUGUCGAUAUCUUUUUAUCUUACGAAGGAGAUGCACACAGAUGAUAAACAGUGAAUAGGGAGAUAACUCUCACAAAGAAAAUGGUUCGGCUUAGCAGGGUGAAAUUUAAAAGCGCAUAAACUAUACAAUACAAUAUGAAAAAUAUCUAAGCGACAUAUUGCGAAACAAACAUUUAUCGCAAGAACAAAAUUUGGCGGAAAAAAAAAAUAAUAAUCAGAAGAAAAACAAUAAGUCUUUCCACAGAAAAGUGGAAAGACUUAAUAAUAAUAAUAAUCAGAACAAAAACAAUAAGUCUUUCCACAGAAAAGUGGAAAGACUUAAUAAUUAAC